GCCUGGAUAGCUCAGUUGGUUACAGCAUGAUGCUGAUAACAUCAAGGUUGCAGGUUUGAAUCCUGCAUGGGACG
This is a non-coding RNA of Podarcis lilfordi (Lilford's wall lizard), 74 nucleotides long. Lineage: Eukaryota; Metazoa; Chordata; Lepidosauria; Squamata; Lacertidae. The record is from the annotation of a GenBank genome assembly.